AUUGAACGCUGGCGGCAGGCCUAACACAUGCAAGUCGAACGGCAGCACAGAAGAGCUUGCUCUUUGGGUGGCGAGUGGCGGACGGGUGAGUAAUGUCUGGGAAGCUGCCCGAUGGAGGGGGAUAACUACUGGAAACGGUAGCUAAUACCGCAUAACGUCGCAAGACCAAAGUGGGGGACCUUCGGGCCUCACACCAUCGGAUGUGCCCAGAUGGGAUUAGCUAGUAGGUGGGGUAAUGGCUCACCUAGGCGACGAUCCCUAGCUGGUCUGAGAGGAUGACCAGCCACACUGGAACUGAGACACGGUCCAGACUCCUACGGGAGGCAGCAGUGGGGAAUAUUGCACAAUGGGCGCAAGCCUGAUGCAGCCAUGCCGCGUGUAUGAAGAAGGCCUUCGGGUUGUAAAGUACUUUCAGCGGGGAGGAAGGCGGUGAGGUUAAUAACCUUGCCGAUUGACGUUACCCGCAGAAGAAGCACCGGCUAACUCCGUGCCAGCAGCCGCCGCCG
This 506-nucleotide ribosomal RNA is filed under the name uncultured bacterium. Its description in RNAcentral is "partial 16S ribosomal RNA". It matches the Rfam family "Bacterial small subunit ribosomal RNA", at positions 29 to 523 of the family's 1533-position model. The record is from RNAcentral.